GGCCCCUUAGCUCAAUGGAUAGAGCAUCCCAUUUGCGACGGGCAGGUUGUCGGUUCGAGUCCGACAGGGGCCA
Molecule: transfer RNA, 73 nt
Filed under: Chloroflexota bacterium
Lineage: Bacteria; Bacillati; Chloroflexota
Description: Chloroflexi bacterium tRNA-Ala
Rfam family: tRNA
About the family: Transfer RNA (tRNA) molecules are approximately 80 nucleotides in length.
Source: RNAcentral